This 388-nucleotide ribosomal RNA is filed under the name Aplodinotus grunniens (freshwater drum). Its description in RNAcentral is "partial small subunit ribosomal RNA". It matches the Rfam family "Bacterial small subunit ribosomal RNA", at positions 794 to 1384 of the family's 1533-position model. Lineage: Eukaryota; Metazoa; Chordata; Actinopteri; Sciaenidae. The record is from RNAcentral.
GCUUAGCCUUAAACAUUGACAACAACACACACCUGUUGUCCGCCUGGGAACUACGAGCAUUAGCUUAAAACCCAAAGGACUUGGCGGUGCUUUAGAUCCACCUAGAGGAGCCUGUUCUAGAACCGAUAACCCCCGUUCAACCUCACCCUUCCUUGUUUUCCCCCGCCUAUAUACCGCCGUCGUCAGCUUACCCUGUGAAGGAUUUAUAGUAAGCAAAAUUGGUACAACCCUAAACGCCAGGUCGAGGUGUAGCGUAUGGAAGGGGAAGAAAUGGGCUACAUUCUCUAAAAUAGAGAAAACGAAUGACAUACUGAAACGUACAUCUGAAGGAGGAUUUAGCAGUAAGCAGGAAAUAGAGUGUCCCGCUGAAAUUGGCCCUGAAGCGCGC